ACCCUGGUGGCAUAGUGGUUAAGCAUUUGGCUGCUAACCAAAAUGUCAGCAGUUCGAAUCUACCAGGUG
RNAcentral lists this transfer RNA (69 nucleotides) under Loxodonta africana (African savanna elephant). It matches the Rfam family "tRNA". From Rfam's summary of the family: Transfer RNA (tRNA) molecules are approximately 80 nucleotides in length. The record is from Rfam by way of RNAcentral. Lineage: Eukaryota; Metazoa; Chordata; Mammalia; Proboscidea; Elephantidae.